This 558-nucleotide ribosomal RNA is filed under the name uncultured bacterium. RNAcentral's name for it is "partial 16S ribosomal RNA". It matches the Rfam family "Bacterial small subunit ribosomal RNA", at positions 355 to 903 of the family's 1533-position model. The record is from RNAcentral.
UAGGGAAUCUUCCACAAUGGGCGCAAGUCUGAUGGAGCAACGCCGCGUGAGUGAAGAAGGUUUUCGGACCGUAAAGCUCUGUUGUUGGUGAAGAAGGAUAGAGGUAGUAACUGGCCUUUAUUUGACGGUAAUCAACCAGAAAGUCACGGCUAACUACGUGCCAGCAGCCGCGGUAAUACGUAGGUGGCAAGCGUUGUCCGGAUUUAUUGGGCGUAAAGCGAGCGCAGGCGGAAGAAUAAGUCUGAUGUGAAAGCCCUCGGCUUAACCGAGGAAUUGCAUCGGAAACUGUUUUUCUUGAGUGCAGAAGAGGAGAGUAGAACUCCAUGUGUAGCGGUGGAAUGCGUAGAUAUAUGGAAGAAUACCAGUGGCGAAGGCGGCUCUCUGGUCUGCAACUGACGCUGAGGCUCGAAAGCAUGGGUAGCGAACAGGAUUAGAUACCCUGGUAGUCCAUGCCGUAAACGAUGAGUGCUAAGUGUUGGGAGGCUUCCGCCUCUCAGUGCUGCAGCUAACGCAUUAAGCACUCCGCCUGGGGGAGUACGACCGCAAGGUUGAAACUCU